RNAcentral lists this ribosomal RNA (539 nucleotides) under Pseudothelomma occidentale. Its description in RNAcentral is "partial large subunit ribosomal RNA". It matches the Rfam family "Eukaryotic large subunit ribosomal RNA", at positions 1 to 542 of the family's 3401-position model. Lineage: Eukaryota; Fungi; Ascomycota; Lecanoromycetes; Caliciales; Caliciaceae. The record is from RNAcentral.
GAUCGACCUCGGAUCAGGUAGGAAUACCCGCUGAACUUAAGCAUAUCAAUAAGCGGAGGAAAAGAAACCAACAGGGAUUGCCUCAGUAACGGCGAGUGAAGCGGCAGCAGCUCAAAUUUGAAAUCUGGCCUCCUCGGGGUCCGAGUUGUAAUUUGCAGAGGGUGUUUCGGGCGAGGUGUCGGCCUAAGUCCCUUGGAACAGGGUGUCCUAGAGGGUGAGAGUCCCGUCUGCGGCCGGCAACCGACCCCAUGUGAAACCCCUUCGACGAGUCGGGUUGUUUGGGAAUGCAGCUCUAAACGGGUGGUAAAUUUCAUCUAAAGCUAAAUACCGGCCAGAGACCGAUAGCGCACAAGUAGAGUGAUCGAAAGAUGAAAAGCACUUUGGAAAGAGAGUUAAACAGUACGUGAAAUUGUUGAAAGGGAAGCGCUUGCAACCAGACCUGCCUUCGGGUGAUCAGCCGUCGUUCUCGGCGGUGUACUCGCUCGGUGCAGGCCAGCAUCGAUUCGGGCGGUCGGAUAAAGGCCGCGGGAACGUGGCUC